Molecule: transfer RNA, 89 nt
Filed under: Desulfonatronum zhilinae
Lineage: Bacteria; Pseudomonadati; Thermodesulfobacteriota; Desulfovibrionia; Desulfovibrionales; Desulfonatronaceae
Description: tRNA_Opal_TCA
Rfam family: Selenocysteine transfer RNA
Source: RNAcentral
GAAGCGUUUCGUCACCGGUGUGGCGCCUGGACUUCAAAUCCAGUGGACGGUCGAGAGGUCGUCGGUAGGUUCGACUCCUAUACGCUUCC